UACGAAGGGGGCGAGCGUUGUUCGGAUUUACUGGGCGUAAAGCGUGCGCAGGCGGUUUUGUAAGUUUGUCGUGAAAUCCCCGGGCUCAACCUGGGAAUUGCGAUGAAGACUGCAAGGCUAGAAUCUGGCAGAGGGGGGUAGAAUUCCACGUGUAGCAGUGAAAUGCGUAGAGAUGUGGAGGAACACCGAUGGCGAAGGCAGCCCCCUGGGUCAAGAUUGACGCUCAUGCACGAAAGCGUGGGGAGCAAACAGG
Molecule: ribosomal RNA, 253 nt
Filed under: uncultured bacterium
Lineage: Bacteria
Description: partial 16S ribosomal RNA
Rfam family: Bacterial small subunit ribosomal RNA
Source: RNAcentral